CCCUUAGAUGUUCUGGGCCGCACGCGUGCUACACUGAGUAAAUCAAUGGGUAAGGGAACACGAAAGUGCAACCUAAUCUUGAAAUUUGCUCGUGAUGGGGAUCGACGGUUGCAAUUUUCCGUCGUGGACGAGGAAUACCUUGUAGGCGCGUGUCAUCAUCACGCGCCGAAUACGUCCCUGCCCUUUGUACACACCGCCCGUCGCUCCUACCGAUUGAGUGAUCCGGUGAGGCUCUGGGACCUGGACGGAAAGAGCGUUUCGCUUGUUCUGUUUGGGAAACUUGGUCGAACCUUAUCAUUUAGAGGAAGGAGAAGUCGUAACA
This 322-nucleotide ribosomal RNA is filed under the name uncultured eukaryote. Its description in RNAcentral is "partial 18S ribosomal RNA". It matches the Rfam family "Eukaryotic small subunit ribosomal RNA", at positions 1470 to 1796 of the family's 1831-position model. The record is from RNAcentral.